GGACGGCACAUGAUACUGCGAGACUAGAGUAAUGGAGGGGGAACCGGAAUUCUCGGUGUAGCAGUGAAAUGCGUAGAUAUCGAGAGGAACACUCGUGGCGAAGGCGGGUUCCUGGACAUUAACUGACGCUGAGGCACGAAGGCCAGGGGAGCGAAAGGGAUUAGAUACCCCUGUAGUCCUGGCAGUAAACGGUGCACGCUUGGUGUGCGGGGAAUCGACCCCCUGCGUGCCGGAGCUAACGCGUUAAGCGUGCCGCCUGGGGAGUACGGUCGCAAGAUUAAAACUCAAAGAAAUUGACGGGGACCCGCACAAGCGGUGGAGUAUGUGGCUUAAUUCGAUGCAACGCGAAGAACCUUACCUGGGCUUGACAUGUAAUGAACAACAUGUGAAAGCAUGCGACUCUUCGGAGGCGUUACACAGGUGCUGCAUGGCCGUCGUCAGCUCGUGUCGUGAGAUGUUUGGUUAAGUCCAGCAACGAGCGCAACCCCUGUUGCCAGUUACCAGCACGUGAAGGUGGGGACUCUGGCGAGACUGCCCAGAUCAACUGGGAGGAAGGUGGGGACGACGUCAGGUCAGUAUGGCCCUUAUGCCCAGGGCUGCACACGUACUACAAUGCCCAGUACAGAGGGGGUCGAAGCCGCGAGGCGGAGGAAAUCCUAAAAACUGGGCCCAGUUCGGACUGUAGGCUGCAACCCGCCUACACGAAGCCGGAAUCGCUAGUAAUGGCGCAUCAGCUACGGCGCCGUGAAUACGUUCCCGGGUCUUGUACACACCGCCCGUCACAUCAUGGAAGCCGGUCGCACCCGAAGUAUCUGAAGCCAACCGCAAGGAGGCAGGGUCCUAAGGUGAGACUGGUAACUGGGAUGAAGUCGUAACAAGGUAGCCGUAGGGGAACCUGCGGCUG
Molecule: ribosomal RNA, 904 nt
Filed under: human gut metagenome
Description: bacterial SSU rRNA
Rfam family: Bacterial small subunit ribosomal RNA
Source: RNAcentral